GCAAUUGAUUAGAGCUAAGGAUUUAUUCCAAGAAUUGAGAAAUUACUAGGAAUCCCAGAGAAAGAACAAAAUAGGAAAUAUAGAACAUUCCUUAGAUCGGGGGAAAAACAACUUGCUUAGCUGUCUGUAACAAUUCACUUGCAGGUUCUCAUACUAAUUUACAAAAGACACGGCUUCUACAAUAACUGAAAAACCUAACAAAUUUCAGCUAAGCUAACAACUUCUUCUCCAUUGGACAAAGUUGUUGUACGUUCCCAUCUUAUCUUAAUGCAUCGUUUCACUAAUUCAUUUCCAAUUACUUUUCAGCAGCUUAGCACUUCAUUCAAAUGAUACGGAUCAACAACCUGUGAGAAUGUUGUGUUAAUUGGCGUCAAUGGAUUGAGCAUCCCCGUAUUGGCAAAGGGAUAUUAACUGGAGAAUGAAAUUUUAACCAUGAUAUCAUAAUCAAACUUUUGUUUCCUCAUCAAUCUGAACAGAAAGUAGAAAAACUCUAUCUCUGGAGAUAUAUUUAUGGGUUAAGAUCAUCAACUAUUCAGAAAAUUCCAUCUUUGCAUCUCAUCUCUGCCAACAUACAACAUCUACCAUUUUAGAAAUCCUCUCAUCUUCACUCUCGCUCUCAUUGUCAAUCAUACCUUAUCAAAUCAGAGCAGAAGCAACUAUAACAGCAACAACAAAUUGAGAGCCAAAUUGAAGCCCAUUUAGGUUCAACUUUGACAGGGAUUUGUCUGACUUGAUUAAUGCUUGUGUUCACUUCUAGAGCCAAAUUGAAGAUUGUUCAAUGGUUUAUUGAUGAGUGAAAAGUAAAAUCCGAAAGGAGAAGAGGAUUAUAAGAGGAGGAGUUGAAUUCUAUAACAAUGGGGAUUCCUAUGAAGGAGAAUUUCACAAAGG
Molecule: unclassified non-coding RNA, 888 nt
Filed under: Hevea brasiliensis (rubber tree)
Lineage: Eukaryota; Viridiplantae; Streptophyta; Magnoliopsida; Malpighiales; Euphorbiaceae
Source: RNAcentral